GGGGCCAGUUGAGGGACGCCUCCGGGUGCGGGAAUUUCUCGCUACAUUGAAGACCUGUUGGUGACCUUCUGCUGUUGUUUUUUCUUAUGGUCGGAUUGUUGUCUCUUUGGCACAUUCCCCAUUUCCAUUCUCAAUUUUAUUUUUAUUUACUUGUUGGAAGAAUUAUGUGUGGAAUUAUAUGAGGACGGACAUUCUGUCGUCUGAAGGCAAGACAAGCUUUCCACCUCCCUAUAUAUAAGCGCAAACUACAUGCCUUCUUGUAAUAAGGAUGAAUUGAAGUAUUGAUUGCUCUUUUUCUUACUUUCAAACGUUGGACACGAUGUUCCUACAACCUCUAGGA
RNAcentral lists this long non-coding RNA (340 nucleotides) under Mytilus galloprovincialis (Mediterranean mussel). The record is from RNAcentral. Lineage: Eukaryota; Metazoa; Mollusca; Bivalvia; Mytilida; Mytilidae.